This 992-nucleotide unclassified non-coding RNA is filed under the name Hevea brasiliensis (rubber tree). Lineage: Eukaryota; Viridiplantae; Streptophyta; Magnoliopsida; Malpighiales; Euphorbiaceae. The record is from RNAcentral.
CCGUGUGCUUGGUUUGUCCAAAUGACAAAUAUAUAAUAGAACAGAAGGCAUGCAAACCAUGAUCCAAUGAUUAAAGAGAUGAAAGUUAAAAAGGAAACCCGCAAUUCAUAACAUUCUACCAAAAAAAAAGCAUUCGCACACAAUCUUUCGACAAGCUGCAACACGUGAAAUUAUGGCACAAAAACCAUGGAAACACAUUAUCUGCCAAAAUGAUAUCAAAGAUGUUGGACGAAUUCUAAUUUGGUUUAACGAUAGCCCUGCAAUGGAUCAGCUGCUUUGCCUGAUCUUGCAUCAGUCCAUGCUUUUGCAAUGGUUUUUUUCAUUUCAUCAUCCCCUUCUUCGUACAUAUUCUUCAUUAAGUCCAUAAUUCCAGCCAUGGGAUCUCGAUCCUUACCCAGAUUUGGCUUCAGCUUGUCCUCUUUGUAGUGCAAGUCUAACCAGUUACCCUUCGAAGCUUUAAACAAAGUGAUGAUAACCCUGGUAGGCUUAACUAACACUUUACAUUUCUCCGGUUCUAUCUCCUUGUUCAAUUUUGGUAUCGCACAUCGGUAGUUCUUUCCUUGCACAUCAUGGAAUUUGACAUCGAAUGACAUUGGCUUGAAGUCUGUCUCAAUAUUUUCUUGCUUGACACCCUCUAGAGAGACAUAUAUCUUGACUUUGUCAUUGUCCUGAUCCCAGCUGAAAGAUCCAAGCGUAACAUAAUUCAGAGCAGGGGUUGGAGGCACCUUGACUCCAGUUGCUAAUUGAGUUGGAGUUGGAACAGGUACAGAAAUAGGCUCCUUUGACAACUUCUCCAAGUUGCGUAUCUCAGAGGAGAUGAGCGAGAGGACUCUUGGCCUCUUGGCUAAGCUUUGUAGCUGCCUUAGCUCCUCCAAAUCCAACGCCAAUUCGUCACCCAUUUUUCCUUCUUUUUCUGUACAAAUGAAAUAGAAGAGAGUGAUUUUAUAAGUGAAUAAAAAGGAACAUAACACUGCUGUGUGUGGAAAAUGCUA